GCAUCCGCUUCUUUUUUCGCAGCUUCGUCAGAUUCUCUUCCUCGUCGUCUUCGUCGCCAGCUUGGUCUUGGAUCAGGAAGUCUGGAACUUUGGAAGGUUUGAGGAGAACUUACCUUCGACUUCUAGGUGAACUUCUGGCAUGGUGACUCCUGAGAGAUCAUCGACCUGAGACGAGUCACUCGAGAACUCGAACAUGGCGAGAAAGCUCUCUGCAAGAAGAAACCUCUGUUGAGAUCUUCUCAUUCGCUCAAGGAAAUAGAAAAAAGAAUGGAACCUGUAGUGUCAGUCAUCCAGGAGAAAUCCCUAUGAGCACGUUUUCUCUCGUUU
Long non-coding RNA from Selaginella moellendorffii, 327 nucleotides. RefSeq lists it as uncharacterized. The record is from RefSeq and is a predicted model, not a curated record. The transcript has 3 exons. Lineage: Eukaryota; Viridiplantae; Streptophyta; Lycopodiopsida; Selaginellales; Selaginellaceae.